Molecule: ribosomal RNA, 1285 nt
Filed under: Escherichia coli
Lineage: Bacteria; Pseudomonadati; Pseudomonadota; Gammaproteobacteria; Enterobacterales; Enterobacteriaceae
Description: partial 23S ribosomal RNA
Rfam family: Bacterial large subunit ribosomal RNA
Source: RNAcentral
UAAGUACCCCGAGGAAAAGAAAUCAACCGAGAUUCCCCCAGUAGCGGCGAGCGAACGGGGAGGAGCCCAGAGCCUGAAUCAGUGUGUGUGUUAGUGGAAGCGUAUGGAAAGGCGCGCGAUACAGGGUGACAGCCCCGUACACAAAAAUGCACAUACUGUGAGCUCGAUGAGUAGGGCGGGACACGUGGUAUCCUGUCUGAAUAUGGGGGGACCAUCCUCCAAGGCUAAAUACUCCUGACUGACCGAUAGUGAACCAGUACCGUGAGGGAAAGGCGAAAAGAACCCCGGCGAGGGGAGUGAAAAAGAACCUGAAACCGUGUACGUACAAGCAGUGGGAGCACAGAGCAAUCUGUGUGACUGCGUACCUUUUGUAUAAUGGGUCAGCGACUUAUAUUCUGUAGCAAGGUUAACCGAAUAGGGGAGCCGAAGGGAAACCGAGUCUUAACUGGGCGUUAAGUUGCAGGGUAUAGACCCGAAACCCGGUGAUCUAGCCAUGGGCAGGUUGAAGGUUGGGUAACACUAACUGGAGGACCGAACCGACUAAUGUUGAAAAAUUAGCGGAUGACUUGUGGCUGGGGGUGAAAGGCCAAUCAAACCGGGAGAUAGCUGGUUCUCCCCGAAAGCUAUUUAGGUAGCGCCUCGUGAAUUCAUCUCCGGGGGUAGAGCACUGUUUCGGCAAGGGGGUCAUCCCGACUUACCAACCCGAUGCAAACUGCGAAUACCGGAGAAUGUUAUCACGGGAGACACACGGCGGGUGCUAACGUCCGUCGUGAAGAGGGAAACAACCCAGACCGCCAGCUAAGGUCCCAAAGUCAUGGUUAAGUGGGAAACGAUGUGGGAAGGCCCAGACAGCCAGGAUGUUGGCUUAGAAGCAGCCAUCAUUUAAAGAAAGCGUAAUAGCUCACUGGUCGAGUCGGCCUGCGCGGAAGAUGUAACGGGGCUAAACCAUGCACCGAAGCUGCGGCAGCGACGCUUAUGCGUUGUUGGGUAGGGGAGCGUUCUGUAAGCCUGUGAAGGUGUGCUGUGAGGCAUGCUGGAGGUAUCAGAAGUGCGAAUGCUGACAUAAGUAACGAUAAAGCGGGUGAAAAGCCCGCUCGCCGGAAGACCAAGGGUUCCUGUCCAACGUUAAUCGGGGCAGGGUGAGUCGACCCCUAAGGCGAGGCCGAAAGGCGUAGUCGAUGGGAAACAGGUUAAUAUUCCUGUACUUGGUGUUACUGCGAAGGGGGGACGGAGAAGGCUAUGUUGGCCGGGCGACGGUUGUCCCGGUUUAAGCGUGUAGGCUGGU